Long non-coding RNA from Peromyscus leucopus (white-footed mouse), 1041 nucleotides. RefSeq lists it as uncharacterized. NCBI's taxonomy places the organism in Eukaryota, Metazoa, Chordata, Mammalia, Rodentia, Cricetidae. The transcript has 4 exons. The record is from RefSeq and is a predicted model, not a curated record.
CCCACACUGAAACGGUAGUAGAUCCACUGCGCCUUGGACCACACUUUCAAGUAUCCCUGGCUAGAUGACCCCUAGGGCCCCAACCAAUGCCGACAGUACAGGGGUGUUUCGUUUCCCAGUGAAGCCGCUUGCUCAGGCUACCUCAGUCACUGAGGGCUUAUUGUGGCGUAACUGGGGGCGUUUGGAGGCACAUCACUAGAGAUCCCUGGUAGCAGUGGCAUCUCAGUCAAUGAAAUGCCAUGCGGGCACAGGAUGCGUCUGACCCUGGGAACCGUCUUUCAUCCCUGUGCGGUUUGCCUAAAGCAUGGUCAGGCGGCUCUUCUUUUGCAGAUGUAGCUUUUCAAGAAUGCCUGGGCUCCUCUCUCAUACAUUUGAUUUCCACAGUCACAUCUUCUGGCUCUUCACCCAGUAGAAGAAAACAGGGAAGGGGUAUGCAUCUGUCAUUGUGGAUGGAGCCACUGAAAUAUGAAUUCCUUUCUGGCUCCUCUGGCCCCAGGUCAUCAAGGACAAUGGCAGAGGGCAAGUAGACAAUGGAAGUUAUCAAAAGAUAGCAGACCUCCAGCUAAAGGGCAAGAGGAGAUGUCAAUCACAUCAUUAGAAGUCAAAUCUGCCCACCUGGGGCCAAGGAUACUCAUGCAUCAGAUGACAAUUAGAUUCAUCUACAACAUCUUAAAUCAAAACCACUCUGGAUAUCCUACAUUUAGAAAAUAAAAAAGGAGAUGUUGGAACAUGGUCCAAGAACGGAGUCAUGUGAGAAGAAUUCUGAGUGCUUGUGAGAAAACUCCAGUCUUGUGAUCUCAGUUCCUUCAAAACACAGAAUUAGUCUUGGAAGGUGUUUUUGUGUUCCUCCCAGGUGUAGUGGACAGGAGUGAGUACCUCAGAUUAUUCAUUAUAACAGGCUAUUAUUGUUUGUUUGUUUGUCGCUAUGGAAAAACAUGUUUUUGCCACAUGCAGCUUGUUUUUUGUGAUUGUACAUUUUACUCAUGUGAUUCUUCUUAACGCUCAGAAUAUAAAUUGUCUGAUGCUCUGAAUAAAGGCUAC